Molecule: ribosomal RNA, 253 nt
Filed under: uncultured bacterium
Lineage: Bacteria
Description: partial 16S ribosomal RNA
Rfam family: Bacterial small subunit ribosomal RNA
Source: RNAcentral
UACAGAGGGUGCAAGCGUUAAUCGGAAUUACUGGGCGUAAAGCGCAUGUAGGUGGUUUAGCAAGUUGGAUGUGAAAGCCCUGGGCUUAACCUAGGAACUGCAUUCAAAACUACUAAGCUAGAGUAAAGUAGAGGGAAGUGGAAUUUCCGGUGUAGCGGUGAAAUGCGUAGAUAUCGGAAGGAACACCAGUGGCGAAGGCGGCUUCCUGGACUUAUACUGACACUGAGAUGCGAAAGCGUGGGGAGCAAACAGG